RNAcentral lists this ribosomal RNA (497 nucleotides) under uncultured bacterium. Its description in RNAcentral is "partial 16S ribosomal RNA". It matches the Rfam family "Bacterial small subunit ribosomal RNA", at positions 28 to 507 of the family's 1533-position model. The record is from RNAcentral.
GAUGAACGCUGGCGGCGUGCCUAAUACAUGCAAGUCGAGCGAACAGACGAGGAGCUUGCUCCUCUGACGUUAGCGGCGGACGGGUGAGUAACACGUGGAUAACCUACCUAUAAGACUGGGAUAACUUCGGGAAACCGGAGCUAAUACCGGAUAAUAUAUUGAACCGCAUGGUUCAAUAGUGAAAGACGGUUUUGCUGUCACUUAUAGAUGGAUCCGCGCCGCAUUAGCUAGUUGGUAAGGUAACGGCUUACCAAGGCAACAAUGCGUAGCCGACCUGAGAGGGUGAUCGGCCACACUGGAACUGAGACACGGUCCAGACUCCUACGGGAGGCAGCAGUAGGGAAGCUUCCGCAAUGGGCGAAAGCCUGACGGAGCAACGCCGCGUGAGUGAUGAAGGUCUUCGGAUCGUAAAACUCUGUUAUUAGGGAAGAACAAAUGUGUAAGUAACUAUGCACGUCUUGACGGUACCUAAUCAGAAAGCCACGGCUAACUACGUG